This 72-nucleotide transfer RNA is filed under the name Ameiurus melas (black bullhead). It matches the Rfam family "tRNA". From Rfam's summary of the family: Transfer RNA (tRNA) molecules are approximately 80 nucleotides in length. Their secondary structure includes four short double-helical elements and three loops (D, anti-codon, and T loops). The record is from Rfam by way of RNAcentral. Lineage: Eukaryota; Metazoa; Chordata; Actinopteri; Siluriformes; Ictaluridae.
AGUAGAGUGGUGCAGUGGAAGCAUGUUGGGCCCAUAAUCCAGGGGUCGAUGGAUUGAAACCAUUUUCUGCUA